This 507-nucleotide ribosomal RNA is filed under the name uncultured bacterium. RNAcentral's name for it is "bacterial SSU rRNA". It matches the Rfam family "Bacterial small subunit ribosomal RNA", at positions 28 to 535 of the family's 1533-position model. The record is from RNAcentral.
GAUGAGCGCUAGCGGCAGGCUUAACACAUGCAAGUCGAGGGGUAGAAGUAGCUUGCUACUUUGAGACCGGCGCACGGGUGCGUAACGCGUAUGCAACCUACCUUCAACAGGGGGAUAGCCCAGAGAAAUUUGGAUUAAUACCCCAUCAGUAUUAUAGUGUGGCAUCACAUUAUUAUUAAAGUUCCAACGGUUGAAGAUGGGCAUGCGUCCCAUUAGCUGGAUGGUAAGGUAACGGCUUACCAUGGCUACGAUGGGCAGGGGUCCUGAGAGGAGAUCCCCACACUGUGACUGAGACACGGACCAGACUCCUACGGGAGGCAGCAGUGAGGAAUAUUGGUCAAUGGGCGCAAGCCUGAACCAGCCAUGCCGCGUGCAGGAUGAAGCAUCUAUGGUGUGUAAACUGCUUUUGUACGGGAAGAAACACCGGAACGCGUUCUGGCUUGACGGUACCGUAAGAAUAAGGAUCGGCUAACUCCGUGCCAGCAGCCGCGGUAAUACGGAGGAUCC